Molecule: long non-coding RNA, 43339 nt
Filed under: Panicum hallii
Lineage: Eukaryota; Viridiplantae; Streptophyta; Magnoliopsida; Poales; Poaceae
Description: long non-coding RNA (PHAL_LNC000491)
Source: RNAcentral
GGUCGAAACAUUCGACCUGACAACGUGAGAACAAUUCACCUUUGUGCAAAAGCUCUGUGGCUCGUAAAGCUUCUUCAAUCGACUACUCACCACACCGCACACGUCGCCAUCGCAAGUUGAUAAGGCGGCGACAGAUCGACGACAAAAAAAAAAGACAACUGAAGAUGAUCAACAAAGCACAAAGCACACCAUAUAUACUGCACGUACAGACCGGCCAUAAACAAGCAUUGGUCACGGUCCCAAAGGUGCCUACCAUCGAUCCCCAACAAACAUCUCCCACCCAACCCAUGUAACAACAAACACGAACACCACACACUCCCCUGCAGCUAGCCCUACAAUAAUCGGCCCUGCAGGGUUUUCUUUUUUUUUUUAAUCGUCCUUAGCUUAACCCAAGGCUACACAAUCACUGGUGCAGAAAAAUAACUUAAUCCUAUCAUCAUCGUCGCCAUCGUCGGAGAAGGAAAGGCCUAAGCGGGUGCUAAUGAUAAUUAAGCAGCCUCAGAAUGGCCGGCGGGCUCUCUUCUUUACUACGGCGAAGAGGCCGGCCGGUUUCCUUCCCCGAACGCAACGCAGACCGAUGGAUCCUCGUCGUCGAGCGGCGGCGCGGGGCCGGCCCGGCUAGAACUGGCCGCCCUCGAAAGUCUGGCCGAACUGCCAGCCGGCCGGCGCGGCGUUGUUGCUGGUGACGCAGCGGCCGUCGCUGGCGGUGACCUUGAAGGAGAGGGCCUGGCCGUCGAGCAGCGAGUUGCUCUGCCAGUUCUGGCCCCAGUUGCGGGACAUGGCCUGCCACCCGGUGGAGGAGCCCUUGAUGGACACGGACUGCACGUCGCCGGCGCCGGCCACGUUGGUCACCAGCACCAGGUUGAAGUAGGAGUGGCCGUUGAUGGUGAACCGGAUCCCGCCCUUCUUCACGCACGGCACCCUGCAGCAGCGCGCCAGAGGUAUCGAUCAGUAAAAAAAACUGCAGUGAAAAAGUUAUCCAGUUCAUAAAAAAAAAGGUUCAUCCCGGACACGACACGGCAUGACAUGAGAGGCGAAGCGUUGCUGUCGCCGAUCGAGUGCGAUGCUUGCAACUUGCAGAAAUCACAAUCAAAUUGUAGCAUAGCCCACGUAACAUGGCAUGCAAGCCGGCCGUGGUGAGGGCGUGAGGCCCAGGCUCCAUCCGUUUGCUGGUCCGAAGAACUUAACCGACACCCGCACGGGGCGCACAAGAAGAAGCUAGUAAGUCUGGACCCACGUACCUCCUGUACGCGACGGGCACGAUGCCGGCGCGGUACUGCGCGAUCUGGAGGAAGGCCGGCUCGGCCAUGUCGAAGUGCGGGCGCGGCGGGUUGCACCAGCCGCCGUCGUCGCUGGGGAGGCCGUAGUUGGGCGGGCAGAAGUUGGUGGCCGUCACGGUGAUGGUGCCCGGCAGGCACGACUGCCCCGCGUUGUCGCACCGGAGCUCGAAGCACUGCCCGCACGAGGCGCCGUCGUUGAACAGCGCUGUGCUCAGCGCCGCCGUGUUGGUGCCGUACCCGGUGCUGUACAGGUUCCCGUACCCGCACGCCCCGCCUGCAAAUUCCAAUCAGUGUCAGUUCAACGGCGCCGCCGGCCUAGGUACGAACGACGAUGAUGAGUCUCUGCUUGUUCUAACAACGCAGCUCGACCAACCGACUCACCCAUUGUGCCGGACGCGUCGCCGCCGCCGUAGAACGUGGCGUGGGCGCUCUGCCACCCGCCGUAGUCGCCGGCAGCCCGGCGGGCGAGGAAGCAGAAGGUCGAGCAGAGCAGGAGGAAGAAGACAUUGGCGGUCGCCAUUGCAGCACACACACUGCUUCUCGAGCUAAAGCGAGCUCGAGCUGCUGAUUAGGGAUCGAGAGUUGCUUGGCUGUGAAGGGAGCGGCGCGCCGAGGCCAGCUACUUAUAGGCCCAACCCAACCAACGGCCAGUGCUCCCGGCAGUUGGAAUCGUUAGCAACUUUCGUGGAGGGCCAGGGGAAACCGAGACAAAAGAGAGAGAGGCCAGGGAGGUGGUGGGGGACGACUGGGCGGAGCGGCCGCCGACCACGCGAGGCCCGGUGCACGACGGCGGUUAGCGCAUACGAAUCAGGCGCACAUGCGAGUGCCCGUCGUCUCCGCGCGCAACUAGCCAACUAGGGACCAAACUGCUCGCUCGCGUGUGCGCAGGACAGACCGGGGGUUGCCCGGGCCCGGCGUGCUCGCGUGCCCACAUGGAUGGAUGGCUCCCGGCCGGCGUCAGCCGUGGGUCUGGGCUUAUUUGGCCAGUGGCGAGCAGAGAGGGGAAAAAAGAGAAAACAAUGAAAUGUGCGGCGGAUGGGUACGUCUAUCCAUUUCAGGACGCUGCUCGGAUCAUGAAUUGUUCGAGAGAUCAUCGCAGGGCGCACGCACGUUCUCCUGGCCCUGAUUGCCAUGAGUCCCGGGCUCCCGGCUGCACUGCAUCAUGGCCUGUCUGCUGUGGAUUCAUGUGUAUGCCAUGCGCGCACGUCAGUAGUGCUCAGUGUGCAGUGGAUGCUGCGCAUGGUUUCGAUGUGCAAGGUCGUAUGUAUGGCUAGGUCAAAAGGUAAGAAAAACCUGCGAUGCAAUUUGCUCAGGAUGCUCAUCAGCCAAGUUGCGUGUAGAGUAGCAAUGCUAGCUAGCAGCGAAAAGACGGCGAAUGCGAACCAACCAAACCGUUUGAGCGCUGCACAUGCUCAGGGAUCAGAUGCCUGAUUGCCCUCCCUUUUCAACGGCGGUGAAAGCUCCCUGAGAUAUUCGAAACUUGCGUUCUUCAGUUAAGCACCUUUAUUUGGGCGAACUCAUCAGUUAAGCACUUUUUAGCUGUGCUGUGCAUAAUCUCCAAAAGCUGCUGGAUGGUCGAUUUCCGAGAGGAUUUAGCUGUACGUUCGCCUUCUCAUGGGUUGUAAUCAAGCAGUUAAAACUGAACUGAUUCGUCGAUCAGCAUAAAGUAAUCUUCCUGAUGACUCCCGUUCGUCGCGCGUAGUAUGAACACUAGCAGCUAGUGUCACAGCCGUUUAUAGCCGAAACGAUCAGACUAACCACCGGAAUCUUCAGGCAGCAGGCGCAUAAACAACUUAUGUUCCUUACCAAAUACUCAGCGCUACGUGCGAAAACGUCGCUCAUCCCAAUGAUUAGCAGUUGAGAUUACAGUGUCGUUAACCGGGAGCCUCUCUGCCCCUCGUCGGCGCGUGAAGAGCGCUCACAUGCUCGCAUGAGCGCCUCGACAUGGCCACGUAGCUAGGGCGUCGGUGGAGCAUGACUGCAUGACCCCGGAGAUAGUUUAAGCCCAAGUCCUGAGACAAACCUGCAGGUACACUGCAUGCGCGCGCAGGCUAAGUCCAAGAUUUCGUCUGAUCCGGCUGACGCCGAGGAGCAGAUCGAGUCGCUUCAGCGAUCCCCGCCAUGUGGGCUGCGGCGGCUCCUGCAGGACAGGUGGUCGCAGCAGCGCAUCUCUUGCUUCAUCAGACUUAUCCCCCAAGAGGCCAAGACCUGCUCAGACAUGGAGCUGCCAAAAAUAAAACUAGCUCCAACCAAGUCAGCAUCGGCACAGACAUUUGCCAUGUUUUCUGGCUGAUUUGAGUUCAAGCGCAUCUUUUUCUCCGGGCACCAACCAAAAACGUGACAUGCUUAAUGCCAAUGCCUCCCUUUCUUUCUUGUUUGUACAGACAGAACGGUUGAAGCAGGCAUCAAAUAAAUGCGUACUGAGCACAUUUGAAGCUCAGACUUUAGAGAAACAGCUGACGGGUCAUUCUUGCCGGGAGAGCAGGCAGGCAUUGAGAAUUCAGACGUUUCUCCUUUUUUCAGAGCACGGGAACAGCGGUCAGUGGAUGUUCAGCUGGUGGAACGCAUUCACGCGAGAGACAAGAAAGUUCAUCGGGUUAGCUUCCCUGUCAUGCUCCGCGCCUUUAAAACGCGAUAUGAGCAUCGUCACAUGCGCGGCGAGGCUGCUAAUGCUAGCAGCUUCACGCUUUCGCAAAAGCAACAGUCUCUUCCGGGCCUGGUGGACCAUCCCUUUCGAGUCCCCACGCCAUGUUAGUUGCACAUGGGGAGGGAGGGAGGGAGGGGCGGAGGGCUGGCCAUGGCCAGUGGCCACCCGGAGAUCACGGGCAGGCGGGCCCUGUCAUCAGCGCUGAUUCUGAAUUGCCUGGUUCGCCUUCCCUUGGAAGCAUUCUACGCAGCAGCUAGUCCCCCCGGCACCGUAAGCUGAGUUCUCUGAAACGGGAAAAGGUGAUUUCCCUGACGAGUUUGGAUUAGCUUCGGUUGUGUCGUGAUUUUUACUUUUGACGGCUGUUGCCUUCUAAAUUAAGGUUAGCUUAACUCUGUUGUGCGUGCGCAACUGCAUGAGCAAAGGGUGUAUUUUGGUUUUCCCUUUUUUUCCCAACCUUAUUAAUAACCUCAUAGUCCAAAGUAGCAUGAACGGCACAAUGUAUUUGAGCAUCCUUUUUAUCUCUCUCCGUGUGUUCCUCAAAAACAAAUUAAAAUGGUUCAUCCUUAGCGGUAGAUGAGAACAAAACCGGAUGGAGGCGUCCACGUCCGGUAGCGGCGAUGUGAUGGCUGCACGAGGGAGUGAGGGGGGAACCCAUGUGGGGAGCACACCAAAAAUAGAUCGCAGGAUCGUCCCCUGACAGCGACCCGAUCGAGCUCCGGAACUCAUCAGGUCGCCCCGCGCGGCCCCACGCGAAAAGAGAGAGAUCUCUGUAAAUCCGGGAGAAGGCAACAACCUGCCCACUGUAGUGUAGAGUAGAGAGAAUCCCGUAGCAGGAUCGGCUACCGGUGUCGCGGAUUCGCAGAUCGGCUCCUGUAAUCCAUGCAUGAUAGUAGCGUCUUCCUUCGCCAAACCCCUCGACGUGCGGUGAGAGAUCGUAGCUGCAGAAAGGCCAUCAUGGUCUGCUGCUGCCAUUGCUAACAGUUGGGUGAUCGCGUGCCCAGCUUGAUGGCUGCUGUCUCCUCAUGAUGGCCGGAGGAGCUAUGGAGAAUCAUGGUCGCUUCCGCGACAGGCGUUAGGGGUACCGAGCGCAUGCAUGCAGGCGUCGUCCUACCGCCGGCGUUAGGGGAACUCAUCAAACGCCUUGGAGGAGAGACCAAGAAAAAAAAGCGAGAUCAGGGCCGCCCCGGUUGUGGAUACCGACGGCGAGCCGGAGGGAGGGAAAGCGCGAUCGAACCGACAGCGACGGGGCGCGCGCGCCCCCGGCCAUGUCACGCAAGAGUGGGUGGGUCACCGCCGCGCGGCCGCGGGUAACGAACCACCGGGCCUCCCUCCCGUUCGUUAAUGGCGCGCGAGGCCCCCCAACCGAACCGACGUGCAAGGCAUUGCCGCUCCCGCGUCGCUCUCCGGCGCGAAACCCUGCCUGCCAGUCGAGGCGGGCGGGGCUUCGUGGCGCGUCCCGUCGCGCGCCAGUUCGGCCCCGUGCCGGUGCCGGUGGUUAGCUGCCGCCUGCACGCUACCCCCGUCCCGUCGGUCGCCGGUCCUCUAGAAUAGACUCUCGAUCGGCCGGUCGCCCGCCCGACGGCCAGAGAGGUCGCGGUUGCGCGGCUGUUGCGGCCAUGUGCCCGCGGCGCGUGCCGAGGCGACACCGCCGUCGCCGUCAGGUCACGCGUCGCUGGCUGCUGUAGAGGGCCGAUGGGGAGGGAGGCGUGCCGGCGUGGCCCGGCCCGUCUGGGUGCCGGUCCUACUGCGUGCAGGGUGCUGCGAGCGCCGCGCGGUGCGCCCGGCGUUUCGACGCGUCUCGGCGACCCUGUUCGUAGUUGAUACUGCACUUUUUCGUGGGCUCCCGCAAAGAGUUUCUCGAGGAGCCCAAUUGCUUUUUUCGUAGAGACUAACUUUUGAAACGAAUAAGCCCAGUUUCCCGCAGAAAAAGGCCGAAGGCGUAGCAAAUCUACUGGCGGAAAGGCGCGAGCUGCUUUGAAGGAAAGCUUCUAGCCCAAUAAUCCCGAACCGGGCCAAUCGCGCACUAGACAACGGGCCGGGCCUCUGGUUCUGGAGAACUGCGGGCCGGCUGGGCAUUUGUCCUAAGUGCCCACUUAGCGGCGCAGUAGGCCGUAGGCCCGUAACACGCAGCUCACCGGGCUCCAGCCCAGUGUGCCAGAUCAUAUCUGGAUCAGCCAACAUGACGUGAUUCCGGUGUGGCUUUAGCUGUUCUGCACAAAUCUGGGUACUGUAGCGUGAAAUAAUUUUCUAAACUUAAUCCAAAAUAUAUUAGAAGCCGGUUAAAAUCAGUUAUUUUUACUUCAUCGAGUUUGACCGUUUUGGAAGAAAGCUCUCCCAAACAUCUCCUUCUAAUCCUCGAAAAACAAACACCACCUCGCGCUCUCCAACCAUCCGUGCAGCGGUGCAGAGGCUACAGUGCCGGCUGGAUCGUCAGGAUCGAACACCCCCGAUCGCCUCGAAAUGAAUGGCGGUGCAGUGGGGGCAGUUAAUUCUCCCACCCCAGCCAGCUGCCAACGACCUUCGAACCACUGCCAUCAGUGCCAUGUGUGGUGCUUGCACAAUUCCGUCAGAAAUCGCCAUUUGCGUCCACAGCUCCUCGACGAGGAAGAAGAUUAGAGGCCCUGCCCAGGGCCAGCGGGCUUUCGGAAGCUACUAGAGAGAGAUCGGCGCGGCGCGAGGGCAAGUAGAAGUAGGUCCGGGGGCAUUGACGGCGCCUGCCUGCCGCACGUCCUCCGCCGACGGAGGCAGAGGCAGAGGCAGGCGCUGUAAAUGGCGACGCAGCGGAGUGGCUCUCACAUGGCUCCAUAAAUCGCCGGCCCGUCCGCCCUCCUGCAAUCCUGCAGCGGCCUGCCGCCGACGACGCAUGCCAUGGGGAUGGGGCCGCGGAUCCAAGCCGCAGCAGCGAGCAGCGUCCGCCCAGCCUCGCCUGCGACUCCAUUUACGCUCGAGCGCAGAGAUGAUAUAUAUAUGCAGGUGUUGGAAACUUGUCCGCCACCCACACUGCGGAUCGGACUCGCUAGCUGCGCGGAUUAGCGAUGGAUGGUUGGGACCAGAUCGCUAAACCCUAAACCCUGGUGGUCGUCGUUUAUUUAGAUCGGGUAAAUCAGUACGUGGUUGAUGCCCGUGGUAAAACAAACGCAACACAGAAGGACCGAGCGUUUCUACAAACAGACAUGGUCCACAAGUCGAAAGGAUUUAGUUUACCCCUCCCCACGAAAAGGUUCCUAUCCACGAGUAGUCGAAAAGGAUGCGACAGGCUGAGCCACGCACUGACGCCAUGUACAGUGCACCGUGGGUACGGGUUACGGGGGCCGUAUGGGUUUACCAGUGACACCCACAUGGACGGUCUGCAUGAGCCAGGAGCUGCUCUCUUGCCCAAUCCAUGGCAGCCAAGUAGCCGAGCUGGCCAAUCCAGACCGGGCUCUGGCUAUGGCUGCCUGGCUCGCUCAGUCGAGAGUGUGUGGAUUAUUGUCAAACAUGUACGUUGGAUUCCUUGUAAUCUUUCAGACUUUCACGGUGCUGUUUUCUGAAAUCUUUUCGAAGCAAAUAGUAGGUGGUCAGGAGCUAUUUGAGCUGGCCGAAAUUAACCCAUGACCAGGCGAAGCACUGAAAGAUGCUACAGCUUCUCGUAGUAAUUUACCCCAGCGAUGCAUCUACCAGCGAACCACGUCUUUAACUCCUCCCCUGAAUGCACUCAACCACCCCCGUAAUAGUAACAUUCCCCCUCCGCUAUAUAAACCCCUCCACGGAAACCCUCGUCUCCCCCACACCACCAACCAGCGAAUCACAGACCACGCACCACUGCACUCAGGCCAUCUUCUUCUUCUCGUACGAGUAGAGAGGUAGCUAGCAGGCAUGGCUGGUCCGAGGCUCGCGACGCUGGCGCUGGCCGUGCUCCUGGCGGCGGCCGUGGCGGCUCCCCCGGCGGCGGUGCGCGCGGCCCUGUCGUGCAGCACCGUGUACAACACCCUGAUGCCGUGCCUGCCGUACGUGCAGAUGGGCGGCGCGAUGCCCCCGCAGCCGUGCUGCGGCGGCAUCCGCAGCCUGCUGGCGCAGGCCAACAACACCCCCGACCGCCGCACCAUCUGCGGCUGCCUCAAGAACGUCGCCAACGGCGCCUCCGGCGGACCCUACGUCACCCGCGCCGCCGCCCUGCCGAGCAAGUGCGGCGUCUCCCUGCCCUACAAGAUCAGCACCGAUGUCAACUGCAACACGUACGUGCCGCCGCCCGGGCACGAUGCCCGCUAGCUGCUCUCUACGCUUUGAUGUUCUCAUCGACUCAUCUCCUGCCCGUCCUGUGUUCUUCUGCGUUUCUGACGUGCUGUGACUGUCCAUUUUUUCUUUUCUUCCUUCUUGUCUGUGCAUGCAGGAUUAACUGAGGCGUCCCGUGCGAGGAAAUUCAUGGCGGAGAAUAAAUGAAGUGCUGCUAGUAUUUAAGAAGCUAGAACGGACUAGUAGAUCGAGAGGUGUGCUUGUCUCUAGUCGUCGUCGUUGAUGGUGUUUAGGAAUCGUCUGAAGAAGUUCCUCCUGGUGUCUCGUGGAUGUUCGCGCGAGCAGAGUACUAGUCAUGAUUGUCAUGAACCUGUGUGUGCGCUUCUGUGCACCGUGCCUAUGUAUUUCCUCGUGAAACUACCUAUUGUUGCAGUUUCAUCGCCGUGUGCUUUGUUUACGUGUGACUCUAGAAAACACCCCCAUGAAACUGAACUAUGUUAUUGGCAUGGUCCAUUUCAAAUUUUCAAUUUGCCAUAGUUAGAACACAACGGGAACACAAGGUCCUCCGAUGACUGGGAAACUCGCUAACCUUAAUGUGAACUUCCUGUGGUAGAAGCUGCAAAGGACAAACUUCAAGUACCCUUUCUUGGUGAACCGGUGCUCCACGAAGCUAACAGUCAUCUUCUUCCCGAACCCCAAGGACGCCGACUUCCUGGACGAGGAGUUGGAGAAGCAGCUUCGACUUCCAAAGCCAUUUGGGCCGGCCGUGUCACGGGAGCUUUCCGUCAGCCGAUGUCAAAUUUCAAAUCCACAGACGUCGUCCUGUUUCCGGAUCGAAGGCGUUGCGCUGCCGGCCGAGGCGUGUCGCUCUACGAACCAUGCAGGCCGGAGCUGCUUCUUGAUUAUGAAAUUUGAGAUGGCCUGCCUUUUCUUUUUGAAUUUCUAGACAGCAGACGGCUAGUUUCUGUGCAUGCCUCUAGCGGACUCCCAAGGCAGCACGACCGCUCCCGUUGCUGAAUCUACGCUCGGCCGUAAGUUUCAAAACUUACAGCCGAUCCAACUUCGUAAGAGUUAUUCUAUAACGGAAAACACUCUCCCCCAGCAUAAUUUCCUCCCUUUUUAUUUUUCCUUUUCUUUGCCUAGCUCCUGUCGGUGACUAAGUUUGUUUCCAAAAAUUUUCUUCCAAAUUAGAUAUUAAUUUUUGGAAGAAUUUCUGAUUUUUUAUUCUACAAAAGUUAUUACUAAAAACUUUGUCUACCAAGUUUGAUCUUAAGUUCUGCUUUCAAUUUUUUUGCUUCUGAAUUUUUGUUCCCAAAAUUUGUUCUCCAAAAUUUGUUCUUAAAUUUUGUUUUUCAAAUUUUUUUCACCUGAAAUUUUGUUCCAAUUUUUUUAAAUUUCAUUGAAAGUUGGUUUCAAAAAUUUUCCCAAACUUUUUCCCUAUUUUUUUUACAAUUUUUUUAUUUCUAAGCUUUUAUAUAAUUUUUCUCUUUCUACAAUUUUUAUCUUUGCGAUUUGAUCAAACUUUGUGUAUAUAAAUGUUUGUAUGUAAUUUUUGUGUAUAUAAUCUUUUAUCAAAUUAGAAAGGGAGAAAGGGACAUACGGACGGUAGUUUGGUCGGCCUGUCGGAAAUCGAUCGUACGGAAUGCUCCGUACGGUCGCCCGUAAAUUAGGGUGCCCCACGACCGCUCGCCCAGGUUCUUUCCUUCACGGCAUCCAAUCCUGAAGAAGUUGAAGCCGUGAACCGCCGGUGCCGCUCGGUACACCAUCCUCUGCCCCAGGUUGGGCCUUUUCAUUUCGUUACUUGUUACAGUCCUGGGCUUUUGUUUUGCUUUGUUGCUGUUUUAGAAUUUGGGCUUCCAUUCGUUUUCGGCCCAGUUUGUCCCUCUUUGCUGCUGCUGAUUCUGGCGCGUCAACACGUUCAGCGAAGGAUCCCUAAGAAAAGAACAAGUUGGGUUUACACCUUUGAAUCUAAUUUACAACCUUAAACUAUAAAACCAGAUAAAAAAGAUCAUCCAAAUGUUGAAACCGGGCAAAUUUGGCCUUUAGGGUGGUUUUGAAGUUGGUUUUGUAUCUUUUCAAAAAAAAUUUAAAAAGUCUAAUUAGAUAAAAAAAUCAAAACUAAUUUAUUUUAAAUCAGAAAAAUACGAAACUAGUACAAAAAUUUUUCUAAAAAUAUAACCUAUCUAUUAUUUCUCUAUUUUAAUCUUAUUUAUUAAAAAUAAUAGAUAUAACUACAAGCAACCAAAUACUAUGAAUAUAAAAAAUAGAUCCGAAUAAUUGGCAAGUAUAGUGCCAAUAGAUAGGUUACAUUUUUAGAAAAAUUUUGAAUCUCAUUUCAUAUUUUUUGGAUUUGAAAUGGAUCAAUUAUGAACUUUUUAGUUUAAAUUUGAAUAUUUUUAAUUUUCAUAAAAUGAAAAAUCAUCUUCAAAACCACCUAAGGGCCAAAUUUGUCCGAUUUUGACAGUUGGAUGGUCUCUCUUAUCCGAUUUUGUAGUUUAAAGUAGAAAAAUAGGAUUUUUACGAUAAUUAAAAAAUGUAAACCGAACUUUUUUAAAAAAAAACGUUUAGCGAAGGACAGUUACAGGGCGGGGUCGACGAGCGCUGAUCAGAUGAGUCUUAUCUCCGCCUGCGGCUACAAAAUGCUCGUCCUCCUGUGCUGUUCCUCGCCACUGUCGCAGCAACAAGCACCUAGGCCCAACAGGCAGGGCCACCAUAGACCUGCAAGCGAGCCCCCAAGAGUGUCCUGUCCAUCGAGUGUUUAACCAUCGAGUGCCUGAACACUAUCAAUGAUAUACGUACAUGGCACCUCUACGUUCCGUCGUCUACAAAAUGGACCUUCGAGAUUUAAGUAGGCGACUGUUUAACAAAACCAUGAUUUAACUAUGUGGCAUUCUCCUCAGAUGGUGAUAAUAAAUAUUUAUAUAUUUACAUCAGCUCACAUCCAAUAGAUUUAAUUUAUAGCAUGAUAGUAUCAACCAAUUUCAUGCGAGCAUCAAUUUCAGGGUAACAAAAGUGGCAAUUUCUAUUCAUAGCGCGCGUAGCAGCGUGCUGUGGCGUCGCAGGAGGUCUUUAGCCCCCCGCCCCCGCCGCCGCCACCCCCCCCCCCCCCCGCCCGCAAUUCCUUUCGAGUUUGGACGGCGUGUCCGUGCAGUUUUUUUAGAGGUGUCCCGACGGGCUCGUGUCGGUUAAGGCCCGGUCCAGGAAGGCGCAUAGUUUGGCUGGCGCAGAUUUUUCUUCGGUAAGGUUCAAGUUAGACUAAAAGUGAGAACAUUCUGAAAUUUAAGAAAAGUCAACAUUUUUCGAAAAACUUUCAAUUGUUUUCAAACAAAUAUGAAAUGUUUCAAACAUUCGGAACAUUCUGAAGUGUUUACAAAACUUUUAGAAAAGCUCGAAACUUUUUUUGGGAAACAACAUUUUUUCAGGACACUUUUAAUUGUUUUCAAACAAAUCUGAAAUGUUUCAAACAUUCGGAACAUUAUGAAGUGUUUACUAAAUUUUAGAAAAAUGCGAAAUAUUUUUUGGAAUUAUUUGGUCAACAUUUUUUUUUGAAACACUUUUAAUUGUUUUCAAACAAAUUUGAAAUGUUUCAAACAUUCGGAACAUUCUGAAGUGUUUACUAACUUUUGGAAAAGUGUGAAAUAUUUUUUGGGAACUAUUUGGCCAACAUUUUUUCGGAACACUUUUCACUGUUUUCAAAUAGUUCUGAAAUGAUUGAAACAUUCGGAACAUUCUAAAGUGUUUACUAACUUUUAGAAAAGUGCGAAAUAUUUUUUGGGAACUAUUUGGUCAGCAUUUUUUUCGGAAAACUUUUAAUUGUUUUCAAACAGUUAUGAAAUGAUCGAAACAUUCAGAACAUUUUGAAGUGUUUAAAAAACUUUUAGAAAAGCAUGCAGCAAAUGGCAGCGCGGGUUAGCUUUUGGUCAACGGCUUAAUGGGCCUCCAGUUAGCUUCCGCGUCCGCACGCGCGCGCCGCGCCCUCAGCAAAUUCGUUCUGCGAUUGAAUCGACCUAAAUCGCUUAACGCGACAAGUAGACGCCCCCAACAAAAGUAGUACACGUCCACGCGAACUUUAGAUCCUGUUUGGAUUGGAGGAUUUUUAAAGGAAAAGUGGAGGAAUCUGAAACGGAGGAAAGGAAAAAUCCUCAAUUCCUUUCCUCUGCAAGCCUGUAGCAGACCAACCAUUUCACAGGAAAUAAAACAUCCACUCCAAUCCCUUGUUUUUCUUCCCUUCGCGUAUGCCCGAGGCAGCGCACGCAAAGAACAUCAGAAAAAUCGAGCUGAGCCGCUGGAGAAGAACAUGUUCCUUGCUGAUAUCUAGAUGUCUCCAACUUCUUCCGUCUAGAGUAGACCCUUGCUAUCGCUCUCCCAUUGGUGGCCGCCUACCGGCGCUGGCGUGCUCUCACUGAAGCUCGCCGCUGUGGACCUGUGGUGCUUAUGCUACCUGCCUACCUUGCUCCGCUCAAGGCCAGCUGCUUGGCUUCUUCAUCGGAAGGGGAGAGAACGAACGAAGGAAGAGAAUGAGAAUGAGUGGACCAGAAUGAGAGCAAGAGACGGGUUGUGAAGUUUUUCCUUGUUAGCCAACGCUGAUGAUGGGUCCUAGUUCAUUGGGUCCCUAUGUCAGCAGCUCAAUAGAUGAGAGAUGCACAUGGCGAUAGCAGGUUGCCGGGUUUUUUUCCCUCCAUUUGCGGGAUCCACAUGAGCUCGAGUUUCCUAGGUUCUUAUUCCUGCGUUCCAAACACCAAUUUCUAUAUUUCCGUCACGAUUUCCUUUCCUCUGUUUUGCCAAUACACGCAAACCUUAUUCCUUCGUUUUUUUUUCCAUUCCUCUGUUUUUCAUUCCUUUGUUCCAAAUAGGCGCUAAGAUGAACUCGGUGAUGUCAUGACAGCAUCAACCAACUUCGUGCGAGCACCAACUUUAGACCAACAACAGUAGUACACGCCCGCGCAGGUCAAGAUAAACUCGGAGAUAGAAUGAUAGCAUCAACUUCGUCGUCCCGAAUCUAAUCUAGCUGCUGAUGCUAUCAUAAUAGAUUCGUAGAUCAAAUUUAAGUUAGUACUUAAGUGUGAACUACGAAUCUAUCAGUCUCUACUUACUGCUAAAAGAAAGAUCCAAACAAAGAAACAAGAGCAGAGGCGGAUCCAGCGUGAAGGAAGGGGCCCCGCCCCUAUGAUACAUUCGACGGAUGGUGCGGACGGCACACCGUGAAUGAGCUCUGGAGCUAGUGGAGGUGGAGCUCGGCCAUGUCGUGGAGGCGCUGAGCGUAGCGUGGCAUCAUGCGUGCAUUAACCGUGUAGGGAUCCCUGCGGAGCAAAGGAGCUGGAGAAGACGAAGGAGAGCACUGGUUGAUCAACUCUGCGGAAGUACUGGACGUUUCGGCUCAGCCAAUACAAAUACGGCGCACCGGACGUGUAGACCCUCAGUGGCCAGCGGCCAGCGCGGUGACUUGUCCAGGUACUCCAUUCCAAAUAGGUACUCAUCCCAUUUGGUUGCUUGGGUGAGAGCCAUUCCUAUGAACGCUGGCACUCAAACACCGGAAUCCUCGUCAGGCAGAAGAGUCUCCCUGAUCGCGCCGGAGCAUACCAAACACUGGGACCUUCUCUUCGCCCACCUGGGCUGCUUGUUCAUUACGGCCCAAUUCAAUACGGCCUAUCACCAUGUGAAGGUUAGGUGAAUCGGGUCUCUAUGAGCCAAUUUCAGAAAAACAGCGGCUCUGAACAUUUUAUGCUCUUUUAUACGAAUAAAGAAAGGGAGUGUCUACAUGUCACCUGGUUGAUUUUGUGUUAUGUUUUCAAUCACUUUUUGCACCAACAGGAUGUUGACAUGCGAGCAGUAGCCUAGGAAGGAAAAAAUGAUUGAUACACACAACUAAUAUCACUCGGAAAAUCUGGAACAAACUGCAUUGCAAAACUGAUUGAUAAUGAGCACGAAUAUCCUUCACAUUAUUUUGUGCACAUCUAACUGUCCCCACUGAUUCAUGAAUGAGCUGGUCACGUGCUGAAAGUGCAUCUAGGUCUAAUGACCUAUUUUGGUGAUUAAUAACAACCUAAAUAAGUAUCUAAUGUUUCAUUUGAGUAUAAUGAGCAGGGGUCAAAGAAACCAAAAAGAAGAAAAGAAAAGAAGUGAAUCUCGACGAUCAUUCAAAGUUGGAGAACGGUACCGGAUCAAGAAAACAGUUGCAAGCAGAGAAAAUUAUUUGUUUUAUAUUUUUAUUAAGUUUAAGUAUACCGUACUAUCAAGGGGGAUGUGAAAAGUGUGUGGAAGAUCACCAAUAAAUCAAAUCCGGAGUGUAAGUUCUGUAGGAAUUUAUGCAAAUGCGAGAGCUCCUGGCGGACAGUCCGCCAGGUCGCUAAAUCAGCCUAAGUCCGAGAGCUCCUGGCGGACUGUCCGCCAUCCGUCAGGUCACUAAAAACUGCCUAACGGCUAGUUUCCAGUGAGACCAAAUAAAUACCCCACGACCCCCAAACAAGAAAUAUCUCUUGCCUAACCAGUGAAACCGAGUCUCAAGCACAUCUUAAGCACUCUAAAGCUUCCCAAAGUGAAACUCUAACUUCUCCACUCCAAAUCCUUGGUCUAGGGUUGGGUUUGAGCAAGAUUCAAGCAAGAUUGAGUUCUUUCCAAGAGAUUCACCUCUCUUGGGAAUCUCUUGGCACUCUCCAUCGCUUUCCACAUCUAUUAUUCUUGGAGCUUGGCUCCUAGACGGUUAGAGGUGCUCAAGAACAACCAACUCGUGGUGUGGUUGUCUUGAGAAGUUUGUAUUACCCUCGUUGCUAGUGAAAAGCUCAAGUUUGACCUUUGUGGUUGCUUGAGAGAGGAAAGGGUUAAGAGGAACCCGGUCCUUUGUGGACUCCUCAACGGGGACGUAGAAUCCUUGAGUGGAUUCGAACCUCGGGUGCAAAUCUUGUGUCUCUUGUGCUUAAUUAUCUUACUUCAUUCUUGUGUUUUUGUUAUUCUUACCGAUGUCUAGUAUUCUUGCCCGAUCUACUCGUGUACUUACUUUGUGCUAGAUUGCUUCCGCAUUUAGUGUUCCUCACUUGUAUUAGAGUCUUUCUAUUCAAAUAGAUUUUGGAAUACAAGUUUUAUUCUUUGAAAGAUUGCAUUUCUUUCCCGAGACCUCCCAGCGGACGUUGGAAGUGCCCAGCGGACACUCCCAGCGGACAGUCCGCCAGGCAGCCUCGGGCUGAGUUUUUGUGUGCAGGUUUUAAGCGACGAUCGCCUAUUCACCCCCUCUAGACGUACUUUUCACAUGCCCCCUCCCUGUGAAAGUGAAUGGAAAGAUGAAUAAGCGAAUUCAUCUAGAAGUUCCUAAACUGAACACUGACUAUAAAAGUAUGGAAAUUAAUAAAAUAUGUAAAAGAUACACUGAAAUUAACCAAAAGAAACUGAUUGAAUAGCAUAGAUGACAUAUGAGCAUACUGAUUAUAUUUUUAGAAGAAUAAUCCAUUAUACAAAGAAAUAGAUUAUCCCCUAGCUAGAGAACUGGAACCAAGCAUGGAGGCAUGAAGCAAAGGAACUAAGCAUGAUGCUAGUUAAUGUCACACAUUAUUCAGUUAAUCAACCUUGACAUUAAGGUGGAGACAUGAAAAUGAAAACUAAAUAGAUGAACACUGAAUAUUCAGUUAAUGAACCUUGACACUAAGGUGGAGACAUGAAAAUGAAAACUAAAUAGAUGAGCACUGAAUAUUCAGUUGAUGUCACAAAUGAUAUAGCACUGACUAAAUUGGAUAAUGAAUAAGACUAAGAUGGUGGAGACAGAACACUGAAUAAGAUUAAAAUUGACGGAAUAUGGUACUCAAAGUUGAACCAUAACACUGAUCAAUUAACUGAACCACCUUUAGUACUGGAUGAUCCAUGUAGUUAAUAUAUGUGGUAGGGUUGUAGGGACUACAAACUAAACAAUGAAUUAGAUCUAAACAAUAUUAACUGAAAAUGAAACUCAAAAUUGAUAACACUUGACCAAGCAUAGGUGAUAGGUGUAAUAGAAGUGGUUUGAUACAGAGCAUAGCAGCUUCAAAUAUAUGGUACUCUAAAUCAUCACUCAGGAUACAAGAGGAGACCAAACUAAUUAUCAUAGGAGUUGUGCCAAGAAAGAAAUCCCCAAAUUAGAGUUUAGACAAGGUAGAUUGUAUUGCAUACAUGGAUCAAUUCUCCAAAGCCAGUACACGUGUUAAGGAUGUAUUUAAUCAGUUAGUAAAACCUUCGGCCCAUGAUGGUCUCCGCGACGGCCUCCACGCAUGUCACCGCCGCAGCAGCUUGACCAUAGUCGCUUGCUCGCUUGCUUGCCCCUGGUGAUUCCUAUGCUCCGGCUCCUCACUUUCUCCUCACUUUGCGGCGGGCGCUGAGUAGGAGGACUUGUUUUACCUCCCAGCCGCCGCACCAGCAAACGAAUCACGAAUGGCCGACACGGAAGGAUCGGCUGAAAGGGCCCCUCCCCGCGCCUCCUGGCCAAGAGCGUCCAUUGCCAAUCGGACGCCCCUUUUUUUGGCAGAUUGCGAGGUCGUGGUUCGAGGGGAUAAUUCCCGACGCGAUUGAUUUGCCGCCGGAAAAGCAGAUCGACGGUGCCGCGACGGGACCCGGGACGGGAAGUCGAGUCCGGGAGUGAGGUUUCUGUUGGCUCGAUCGAUCGGCCGGCGACGAGACGGCCACCGAUGGCCGAUCCGCAGCCACAAGCUGCGGCCUGCGCGCUGCGCCACAAGCUCGUUGAGCUCGUCGCCUCUGGUAAUCCGAGCGACCGGCCUCUGAUCGACUGAUCAUCCUGGUGGAUCCCGCUACUCCGCUAGCGCUUCGAGUCGAGCCUAUCUCGAUUCCGAGCACAAAGGAGCUGGGGGGCCUAGCUCUGUCUCGCUCCCCAUUUGUGCAGAGUAGAACAUUCUGUAGAGGACGGAUGCGACCUGCUUCCGCGUGAUCCUUGAACACACUCUCUGCGGAUUGCGAAACGGGAAUGGAUUCCUCGAUCAAGCACUCACCUAGCUCCUUUUCGCUUCUUUUUUUUUCCCCCAAGUCGAUCGAUCGGUUGGCGUGUCGACACCAUCGUUUAGUUUGCUGCUACAAAGUACAAACCAUCGGCCUCUCUUUUUUCACUUCUCCACUAGGUCAGGUGGCACGUUCAACGCCAGCGCGAGGCCGAUCUCAGCACAGUAAAAAGUUCACGCAACACAGACUGGGUACUUUACGCCAACUGCACUUGCUGAGGUGCGAGGCUUCGAUCCCGUGGCGGCUUCUGAAUUGCUGGCACGGAUCCUGACGCGUAAGAGGCAUCGCCUUCUGCAGGGCGCGGCCAACGGAACGGGCACACAUCCAACGUAGCGCGCGUAAUCCCCUCCUGGAGGCGGGGCCCGCCUCUUUGGCCUGGUGCACGCAGGAUAUUUUCCACUUUAUUACCCCUGGGAAAGGGGAACAGCAAUAGCAAGAUACAAAACGCCCCGGGCCCACCAAUAAAUAUCUCGCCGGUGGCUCGGAAAACCGCGCACGGCAUGCAUGACGUAGCAUCUGCGCAGAGCUUACACGCGACAAAAAGGAGACAGUAACGGCACAACACGGCAGCACUAGUACAUAGGAUUAGGAAAGCUUAGUGUGGGUCAGUGGGGGAUCUGCAUCCUUGUUAAACUAGAAUUUGGUGAUCAGCUGAUCCUUAUCGGAGAACGGGGAUGCUCCUGAGAUUAUCCCUGAUGCAUGCAUGCACGGUUACUCCACACAGAGUUGAAACUGGAGCUGAAAACUUGGGUGCUUGAUGAGAAAACCACACACAAGCUAAGCCGCAGAUGACGACAGGUGCUAAGGAACCUCGUUCCAUCGUAUUGGGCUGGAAAAAAUAAAUCUGAUCGCAAAUUGCUGACACCAUCUUAUAAUACAACGUACCUGCCAUGUCCAAACACAUUCUGCGUAAGCUAUGCCUGGACAAGAGGAGGCAGACUAACGAAUGAGCUACCAGGAGCAAGUUGAUAAGUCCAAGGGCACUGUUUCAGCUUUCACCAGCACCACCAAACCAAAGCCACCUUUGAAAAGGAACGGUGCCAUCACAAAAAUGACAGUACCAUCAGUGGUUGGCGUCCAUGUCCAUGCACGGCUUUUCAACCUCGCAAUCGGAGCUGCACAUUUGCAAGGGCUCCGGAUUAGUUAAACGGGACACACACUGACACACAACAUCUACCUGACCAGAUAAACUAUAUGCAGAUCACGACAGGAGGUUGCUGAUCCUUUUGAAACCUUUACUGCGCACCCGUUUAAUCUGGAAGCUAGGAAAGGAGGAGUUCGUGCUGCACUGACGGCGCUUUUGUGGCUCUAAUUAGUUGGGGGCGUGUUCAGAUGAGCACGCACUACGGCUGCGUGCGUGUGCGGCCAUUUCUGUAUUGGCGCUUUGCCAUCGGACAGUGACAGCCUGAGCUAACGUAGAGUAGUUGAGACCAGAGAUAAGGCUGCGGCUGGGCUGGGCUGUCUCCGGAAAAGCAUCCUGUUGCUGCCUGAAGCGGCUGAUGGCACCGCCUGUCACAGGCGUACGUAUUGGUUGAUAAGCAAAGGUUACCCUUUUCUUUUCCCUCUUAGUGCGCCUCCUAGGGUCUAACUGUUUAAGGAUAGAUUAGACUAUACUUUACGGUAGAUCGGCGGAGUGUCAGGGGCUGAUACGGUGAUGCAAUGCACGCGCACUACGCAGAGUUAACCUUCGAUGAAAGGAACUGCUACGGAGCUGACAGGAGCAUAAGGCACGGCGCAGUGCGGGUUGCGGCCGUCUUUGGCCUGUUCUGAAUCCUGAUAUUUGCAACUUUUUUUAACAUUUACAAAAGGUACAUAUUUAACUGGCACACCGGAUUUCUCAUAUGAAAAGAAAGAUUGCAGGUUCGGAGGAUUUUUUCACUAGAUAGCGGCGCCCAUCCAUGAACUUCCAAAAUGGUUGCUCGAGCCUCUACACUACACUACACACGUCAGCAAUUCAGCAAAUGUUUGCGUGCAGGACUUGCAAGUGCAAGCCAACACCCCGCCGCUCCGCGACAGUACAGCCGAGCGGAGGCCGACACGCCGGAGCCCGGCCGGGCCGCCAGCCAAAGCAAACCAAAAGAGCACGCGCGGGUUUGCAUCACCGCACGCGCGUGGCUAGCGCCAGGUGCACGCGCGGCGAGCGCAUCGGACACAGAUAUUUCUCAUGUGAGGCGCGAGCUUUCGGGUGCCCCCACCGUAACGUGACCCGGUGCCGACCGGCCCUCCGCCCCAACCGCCGCCGGGCGGCCCUGCUCCGCGAUCCUCCCCGGUCCCCGCCUAUAAAAUCUUCCUCCCACGGCCGCUUCCGCCGGGGAGCUUUCCACUUCACGUCCGGCCCUACCUGCAGCAGCCGGCCCGGUUCGUCGCGCGCCACGCGAGACCGAUCAAAAGGCCGGCUCGAUCACACUGAUCACAAGCAUCAAACUUUUCCGGGCCAAGACGGAUAGAUACGGAGCGGGUGCUAAAGCGAAGCGAGAGCGCUCUCCACUGGUGGAGUGGUGGUGACCGCCUAUCGUGGUGGCUGGAGCAGCAUCACCUGUACCGCCGGCGCGUGAUUGCACCACGAGCCGUGUUGGCGGAGACGGAAGGUGAAGAGGGAGAGGAGGGUGGUGGACUGGUGGAUGUCCGGAGAUCGAGCGGCGGCGUCCAUGGGCGUGCACGGGCGGUCGAUGGGCUGGUACCUGGGCCCGCCGGAGUCGCCGGCGCCCGGGAGCGCCGUCGCGGGGGCGCAGCACGCGCUGAGCAGCAGCCCGGGGAGCGGCGACGCCAGCUUCGACACCAACAUGGUCAUCAUCCUCGCCGCGCUGCUCUUCGCGCUCCUCUUCGCGCUCGGGCUCAACCAGCUGGCGCGGUGCCUCAUCCGCUGGGCGCGCCGCGCGUCGGAGGCGGAGGCCGGCGCCGGGGCCGGCGGCAGGGGGAGAGGGCUCAAGAGGCGCGCGCUCCGGAGCAUCCCCGUGGAGGUGUACGGCGCGUGCGGCGCCGACGGGGCCGCGGCCGUCGCCGCCGACGUCUGCGCCAUCUGCCUCGGCGAGUUCGCGGACGGCGAGAAGGUGCGCGUCCUGCCGCGCUGCGCCCACGGCUUCCACGUCCGCUGCGUCGACACCUGGCUCCUCUCGCACGACUCCUGCCCCACGUGCCGCGGCACCGUGCUCGAAGCCGCCGAACCCGGCAAAGCCAAGGCCGCGUCCUCCGCCGCCGGGGGGAGCCGGCGGCAGGGCAGCGAGGCUGCUGCUAUCGCGGUGGUCAUCGGAUGACAUGGACAGGAGGGGCCCGCCUGCCGAUUGUUAGCGGGGCCACAGGUAUGCGAGCUUCUUUUGUUCCGUGGCCGUGAGAUAUUUUGCGAUCAGAGGCCGAUCCGUGGGCCCUGUACCAGUUGUUUAUAGUACUCCUAGUUUCCUAGGUCGCACUCGAGUGAAGAUUGCAUGUCGUUCCAUUAUCCGUUCGGCAUGUCCUCUGCUCUGCUCCUGUGCAGUUGCGCUUGCCUUCCUCCUGGCGGUCGCCCCGGUUUGUACAUAGAGAAAGUUUCUUGUACGCCAUGCGAAAUGAUAGCUACCUAUCGUCAAGAAAUCUGAGUUUCCUUCCAUGGCAUUCCCUCGCCUGCCCACUCCCGUUACGUUUGCCGAACGAUGUCUCUGUAAUGGCGAUUUUGGCCGUGUACGGUGAAUCCACUGACGAACUGAACCCAGCCAGCCUCCACCCCCUACGCACCAAUUCAAUCGUCAUCCCAGAUCUUCCCAAAGCAUUAAUUGAUGUAACCUUCUUCGUGCAAGCUUCGAGGUUUCCUCCGGCGGUGGGCUCGCGCCUACCGGCAUGGCAGCGGAGUGCAGAGACAUGACGAGUCCUUUGCAGCGGCGGUCUCCUACGACCUACGGUCCCUCGCAUACUCAGGCAGAGGCAGUGGCUGCAGAAGAAUUAGCCAAAAAUUUGUUCCAUGCUAUCUUAAGGGCGAAACUGUUUUUCCCGGUGACGGACAUAGUUUGCUAUCAUGUAAAGGAGCGCAAAGUUAACAGAUGUCGAUGAAGGGAAGAGAAGUUCUUAAGUGGCAUAUAAAAUGAUAGCUAGAGUAGCUGUUUAGUAUAUAAGGAAUUUACUAGUUUUUAUUGAUUUUAUUACUCGGGUAAUAUUUUUUCGUGACCUUCACUCUGAUUUUGUCGUUGCAUCUUCAUCGUCUUCUCAACAUGUCGGGUUUUCAGGCUUUUGGGGAGGUGAUCCGACGGAUGGGAACUGUUGGGGACCCGUGGGCCGAGGCGUUGGUGCGGGGACUGGUGGAGGCUCUCGUGGGCCGUGUUAUGUUUCGGCCUCUGCUUCAGAUUUGUAUCUAUCUCAUAAACUUCUUUUAGGGGAAAAGAGGGUUCAAGCCCAUGGGUCGGCCCAAUUACUAAAUUCGCCUAUGGAGAUCCAGCAGGGAUCGAUCGCCCAGCAGAGAACUGAAAAGUGCUGCAGAGUCAUGCACGGGCUAGUUUCGGCCCAUUGAGUUUCAGUGAAGUUGGAAUGCAAACUCGAUCCAUGGUCAUCCCAGUCCCGCUCGAGCCAAAACCUUUCAGCGGUUGGCUAUUUCUCUCACGGUUGGUUGCAGCUUGAGGUGCGCCGUUAUUCGCGAGAUUCGUCGGUCUCGGUCAUCAGUCGCUCAGUCAAUCGUCCAGUUUCUCGGUUCUCCUGCGAAGAAGGGAAGACGGCUACCGUCUCAUGCUACCGCUACACCGGUCUUCCGCUGAGACCAAACGGCCAAUCUCAUGUAAUUAUAUAGACCAUUCUUACAACUGAGGUGUUUGGUUUCAGGGUGUUUAUCAUAAACCUCACCAAUAAAUCUCUAAUAAGCUUUUUUUAUUCAAAUAUAAGCGCUUAUAGGUGAGAUUUAUACACAUAAGUCCCUCCAAGGGAUAUUUAUGCAACUUAUUUUCUGUAGACUCUAUCAAAAUAUCCAUUCUUUCCUUCAACUACUCUUAUCUCCCUCACCUACCCCGCAUCCCGCACACUCGCGCUUGCAGCGUCUCCACCCCUCGCGCUCGCAGGUCCUCCGCCUCGGUCUGUUUGCCGGCCGCGCGCGGUCCCACAUCUCCCUUCCUGGCAGCCCUUGUCGCUGCGCUCCAGCUGCCGCCGCGCUCACCCGUCCCUGCGCGCCGCCGUAGAGCUCCCUCACCGCUGCGGUCCUCCCGGCACUGCGCGCCCCCAUCCCCGCCCCUGCUUGCCGCCUUCAACCUCAUUGGGAGAUGGACAGAGAUGGGCAUGACGGCUACCCGGACAACCUUUUGCAGCCUGAUCCCGCCACUUGCUUCGAUUUGUUCUCUCAGGCGGUUUUCUCGGAUCCGGUCAUCCAUGAUCCCCAGAGAGGUAUGGCGGCGCUGGAUCUCAACUCCCAAAUGGAUUUUCCUUACAUGGAUCAAUACCAACAAAUCCACCAGCCCACACUGGGAAGUGGAGGUGCCACCAUGAAGAUCCCGUCAGUGCGCCCGCAAUGCGCUGCUCGAUCUGCUCAAGGUGGUCGUGGAGGAGGUCAGGUUGGUGAGGGUAUCGCAAGGUCCCGGGAUUUCGGAGCUCAUCCACGUGGACAUGGUAUUGGCGGGCGUGGAGUGGACUCAUGUGGAUCCGUUCAUGGAUCCCGUGUAGGACUUCGCGCUGCUCGAUCUGGUUCGGACAGUGCCGGACCUGCCGGCAGCAACGCUGCUGAUGAUUGGGAUGGCGAUGAUGAUGACUUGGAAGAAGUUGCCCAAGGGAGCUCCAAUGUAAGUUUGUCCUUCACUUCACAUUAAUACUUGAUGCAGUUGGUUGUUUCAUGCUUGCUGUAGAUUGUUUGAUCCAUGUAGUAGGUUAUUUGAUGCUUGGAUUAGUUUGUUUGAUGCAUGCAGUAGGUUGUUUGGUCCCUACAGUGAUUGGUGAUAUUCAGUUUUUUAAGUUGUUCAUGGAGGGAUAUUAAUCUUUACACCUUGCGUGAAUUGUAGUGUUACCAAAUAGAGGCAGGGAAUUGGAAUAAUGGCACUAUGAGUGGAAGAGGAUAUAAGAUUGUGUCUGACAAAUAUUAUGCAAGAACUGGUUUGAGGUAUGAUAACAACUCAGGAACCGUGUUAGUAUACUCAAACAAUUCUACCUAUUCUGAAAGAUGUGUAACAACUUUAAUGAUAUUAACGGUGGUCUUAGCGGGGAAGUAAUAGCCAGUCAUCACUGGUGUAAGACCAACCUUUAAGGUAAAUCAUUUGUUUGCCUGUUCAAAGUAUUUUUAUUACGAUGAAUUACAUUUCCCUAAUUGUGAACUUGUUUGUCAUACUACAUGGCAAGUAAAAUAAAGCUGAGUUGAGAAAGCUAAUCCAUGUGGAGGCUAAUUAUUGCUCUCAUCUUGAGAUCAUGUUCAAGAAUGUGGCUAUUGAUAGAACCACCUCAUACAUACCAAGAGAGGAAGAUGAGGAGGAGGAAGAAAAAAAAGAGAAUGAUAAGUUUGAUACUCCUAUGAGUUCAGGGAGCAAGAGGAGAUCAACCAGUACUAGCACAAUAGCUUCAAGUUCUCGAAGAAAAAAGCAAAAGGAGAUUUUAUGAAUAUGAUGAGCACAAUGAUGAAUAAGUGGGGAAGUGUAGAGAAAGGGACCAUGCUGUGAAUUUAAUUUGUUUAUAUGGUUAUAAAAUUAAUUUGUUUAUAUGGUUGUGAAUAUUUUUUGUUUGUUGCUUAUUUAGUUUUUAAAUGGUUUCAUGUUAUUGUUGGAUUAAUAUAUUUUUAUUGUAGAAUGAUGCCGAAAGAAAUUCUGAAACUGAUGGAAAUUGUGAAGCAGCUCGUUUAAUUAAAGAGCCGCCGUUCACACGGCCGAUUCGCAGCCUGCGUGCGUGUAAAUCGUCUGGUGAUCGCCCACGUGAUGCUUUGCAAGUGACUAUGAUCGUGUGGAAGUCGAUGGCAGGACUGCACGCCUGCACUGUCGCUCCGGCAGCCGGGCCAAACAGGCAAACGCAGGUAGCAGAGCCAGAAUUAUGGAGUGACCAGGCCGGUUUCGUUUCAAACUUGGCAUGGAUACCGCAUCGGUGCCUGUUGACCCCAAGGACUAGGAUUUGGACCUUGGACCACGGUUUCCAGCUCGUGAUUAUCCGCACCUUAUAUCUUUUAAUUAUCGCAAGCACGCAGCGGGCAUCCAAACGUGGCCGUCAGAGCCGCGCGCGCGCACAAUGAUGAUUCUGAACUUGGCUGGAACGGCGCAGGUCCAGUAUGGUAUCCCUGGUCAUCAGAAACCCAAGGCAGAGAAGGCCUGCUACGAAUUUCGCAACAUGCCAGAGCGUGGAGGAGGUUGCGAACUGGAUUGCCGCUAGUACUGUUUGUGAGCCCGCUACACGGCAGAGAACGCCGCCACGGGCGAGAGGACCCAGAGCGGCACGUGUCGCUGCUGCCUGGGCAGACCGCGGCCACGGAAGGCGACUUGCUAUCGGAAUGUAGAAUACCGGGGGGCGUGCUGCAUCGCUCUCUUCCCGAGCCUUCCGAAGCCCCGCUACGCUGCCAAGGGAACGGUUCGACGGGCCGUUACUGUCAGGCGGGCGGCAGUGGUGCGGGCGGGAAGGCGCAGCGGGUGACUUGACGGCCACGCCGCCGGGAACGCCCCGCCCGCACCCUUGUUUCUGUCGCCUGCCGCCGGCGACGAAUCCAACGGGGCGGCGGAUGCGCGAUCGGGACCCGGAAGCCGCGCUGGCCGCCAGGCGGAGGGAGGCGGGCCAUUCCGCUGCUGCGACUGCGAGCCCGCGACGUCUGGACGCGCCCCGUCCCUUGUUGCGUAACGCACGGGAGCUCCAGGAAUCGUCUGCCUCCCGCCCAGGGCUCUGACCCCUGCCUGACCCGGCUCGGCCGAUGAUGCAAUGGCAUUUGGCAGCGCCCGCGCGCCGACGGCUUGCGGGCUCCGGGAGCGCCAACGCCAAGAGGAACCAUGUGAAAAGGGGUCAGGUUCCCGAGACGGCCACGGGAACGGUGCGACGGCGACGCUCGUGAGUUCUGUGACGCCGAGCGGUCGGGCGGCGCCACACUAUACUGCUCUAGCCGCAGACAGAACAAGUGGCCGUGGCCGUGAGAGGCACACGACCGGAAAUAUCUUUUAGCGGCAGGUGACACGCGAUGCACGUACGUUCUCGUUUGGACGGGAAAUGCACGUCGUACCGGUACAUACGGUGCGUGCUAGAAGAUGUGAUCAUGUGAAUGGAAACCGAGGCAGGCGUUGAGAACACCGGACAUUCUUUUGGAAAGUACAGUACCACUCCUGCUCCUGCAAACUGCAAAGAAAGGACAAAAAUAAAGUACACACUUUGGGUGCUCCUGUAAUCUAAUCGAAACUACUGGUUGUAAAGGGACCGGAGCUUGGGGCGUGUCCAACAGUUUGUCUCUCAUAUACUUAUCGUCUGCGAUUAUAUUCCCGCCAAUAAUAUACAGUCUCUUCUUCUUCUUCUUCCGCAACAUUUGAAAAAUCGAAGCCUCGCAAUUUCAAAAGUUUAAUAAUAUUAGAUAAUGCAUACAUUUCCUAAUAGUCUGACAGACAUCACCCGUAAACUAGUGUAGUCUUCCCUUUUUAGAUACUAGACGUUCAAUUUAGUUAUUACUCGUAGAUAGUUUUUUUUGUUUAUUCUCAUCGCCAAGUAAACAAAAUUUAAUGCAGAUGUCUACGAAUCCAUAUGUUUCAACAGUCAACACAGCCUGAUUGGUCGCACCAACCAGAUCCAAUCGGACACGACCAACCAGGAUGCGUCACAGUCGCGCGCUCCUGCCCCGCCACGGCACGCCUCGAGAUUCGUGCGGGCGCCUGGAAGCCCCGGAUGAUUGCCCAAUCAUGGCGUCCCCGCCAGGCAGCUCCAUCAAUGCUCGGGCGCGUGGUCCUCACCCUUCGCUCCCCCUCGAGCUUUACUCCCGACCGACCGGUGGCGCUGGGCCGAUCACCGCCGUCGGUCGCUGUUCGGACGGUCGGGAUGCGGUCAAGCGCCUAAACCCUAUCGCCCCCUUCCCUUUCUUUGACUCCAGCUACGCCCUUGGAAAACUAGAAAAUCCCUUGUCUAGUUAUUUUUUUCUCGUCUUUGACCGGCCUGUCAACAUCCGCGUGGGCCCCGCUGCCACCGCGACAUAUCUAUGACUAUGCGGCAUGGUAGAGCUGCAUGCCCGUUCCUCCCCCUUUGACUAAUUUAUGAGGAGGGGCCUUCCGCAUGCGCGCAUUUGCAUCGCGAUCCUUGGAUAGUACUUCUCGCCGGUCACGCACUUCACUUGGACUUUUUCUGUGGGACUGCCCCCUGGAAAAUUCUACUCUGACAACCACUGCUACGUUUUCCUUGCAGAAAUUUCUGCCGAAACCAUUAGGAUACUCUUCGCAGUUCUGUCAAAACCGGAAUUCAAAUUUGCGCUAGAUUUUGCGGCUGUGCCGGUCUGACCACAAUUUCCAUUUAGGUUCUGUUCGUAUUUUGUCGAAAAAACACCAGUACAAUCUGAAACACGUGGCUGAUUUCGGUUGGUCUGCCUGGUGUCGUACGGUUUCGGGGCCACCAUUUUUUAGCUGCACCUGCACUGCAAACUGGCUGCUGCACAGCAGUCUUCAACACUCAACUAAGCACAAGGCAGCUGGUAAAACCUAAUAUGUAGCUGCUGGUAAGCUCACUCUUAAUCCUAUUCAACGCCAAUGUCGGGCUGGUACCAUUCGAUUAAUAAGGGAAAACAAUAACUAACUUUAGAACGAUAAGACCAGCACUUCACGCUGUUCUGGUAUGGUAUCUUAAGAGUAGAUUUUCCAGGUCAUCAGUGCAUGAUUUUUCUAGAAGGAUAGCUGUGUGUUCCAAGGCUUGGAUUCUUCCGUUCAAUUCAACAAGAGGGGCAUAGCGGCGCGGCAAUGACUUCGAGAGAUGCCUGCACGCGAUCCUUUUCAUAGACGGCCAAGUAAUCCAGUCCUCCGACGUCAACAGUGCCUUUUUCUUUAGUACUCACGUCAGUCGAGAAGAACGUGGCUGUGCUAAUAAGAAUGUAAAGCGAGAGGAAUGAUCAAAAUUCUCAUUUGAACAAGGAGGGAUGAGCUAGUGUACUUUUGCUAGUUCCUCCGUUGUUUUGUUUAUUAGAAGGGAGAAGAGGCGAUUAAGCAUUGAGAUGUCAAUUUUCAAAGCCGCCCCGGUUGCACUUUUGCCUUAACCAUCUCUAAGAAACAAAAGGAAGACUGAGAGAAAAGACUUGAUAAUUGCCUAGGUAAUCUUAUGAAUUCCGAAAAAAGCAAGGUCCAUCCAAUAUAGCGGCACCAAUUUUUCCAAGAAGGAAAAUAAACGUAGGAAAAAAAACUAAAUCCUUAGUGCUUGUUGUAUAACCUUAGAACUUGGACCAAUACCUUCGUGUUUGCAAGGAAUUAAAACUAUCCUUUUUCUUAUUAGGAAGCAGUUAUCGUGUGAUAGGUGUGACAUCAUCGAUAUCUAUCAUCUAUGAAAAAACAGUACGAGAUGACAUAUUGGAUGCAUUGUCAUGGCAAUAUCUCACAUACUCGGUAUAACACCCUUUUACUCUGGUUACUGUCUUAGUGUUUUCAAAAUCCAUGUACCAGUUUACUCCAUGUCUUAACCCUUUCAUUGAAAAACUACCAUAUCUUAACCCUCAUGGCCACAAUCUCCUGUGCUCUACUUGCUACUGGCUAUUCCCUUAAUCUCUUAUGCGUCACUAUCAGUGAAUGUGUCAGGUUCCACAUGUCAUAGACAUAUCGGUGAUAUAUAGGGGAUUAUGUGUUUUCUUGAGGGUAUAUAAGGAACCUCUUUCUUUUUAUAAGGCUGAGCUUGAAUCUACGAGGAUGAGUAUGCACGCCUAUACGAGCAUGUAUAUUUGUAUAGAGUUUAAAUACAAUCUUGCCAGUUUAUAAAAAAUACAAUCUCGACCUUCAUGAAAAAAAUCCCGCAAAACUAUUAGGGAAUGUUUGGUCAAGCUGUCCGGAAGGCCUGGACAGCAGCUCCCCAAUUUUAACAUCGGUUGCGUCUCAUUGUUACCCCUUUACCCCCUCUUCUUAGUACUAGUUGCCGAACAAACCCUAGCGACGUUUUUAGUUAUAUAAAAGACAGGCUAUGGUUAGGAGGGGAUCCUUGAAAAAGCAUCAUUAAGAGGGUGGAAUAUAAACGGCCGCCUCGGAGUUGCUAUCUCAAUCUCUCUCUACCUUUGACCGGUGCCGCUCUUCUUCAAGUUAUUUCUCGCCCUCUCUCUCUCUCUAACCUCCAUUUACUUUUCUCGCCCUCGUUUGCCCCUAUAUCUCACGCCCUACCAUUUGCUUUCCUCUCCGGCUCCCUCCCCAUUCCCGUCCCGCGCCCCCCUAGAUGCCAAUCCCUACCUGAGCAGCGAGCGAAUCUCACCCCGUCCCAUUCGCAGGUGCCGCCGUCGCCGUGCCGGAGGAGCCCCAGCUCCGCUGCCGAGGUUCGUGCUCAGGCCCCCGCGCCGCCUCCUGCCUGUUCUCGUGCUUCGCUCGUCAUCUCGAACUGUCACCUGCUUUUUCGGCGGUGUUUUGAGCUCGCUGUUCGCCGGGCCGGCUGCGAGCUGUUCCCGCUUCGGCUUGGAUCUUCUCCUCGUCUGGCUAAUCUCGUGUCAUUCGGUUCUCACGUGCUGCGGGUUCAUCCGAACAUCUGCUGUCCAGCACCUCGCAUUGUAGAUUUCGCGGAACUGGAGCUUUGGAUUUGGGCGUAUAAGCUCUGGGUGACCGUCUGUAUGGUGUCGAGGGCCGUCCCGAUUGCAUACAGGCCGAGUUCACCGGGUUUGUGUCGAGUCAUCCUUGGUUGGUAGAGUCAAUUGCUUAGUUGUGCACGAACGCUUAUUUUAGAUUUUUAGUUGGUCGCGUGACCGAAAUGGCUAGUUUGGUUUGAGUAGGUGAGAGUUCGACUAUUCAAUUUCAUCGGUCUUAAUGCGGGGGUAGUUGCGGGCACGCGCAGUUUCUGCGAAAUUGAGCUGCUUACCAACUAGUGAUGUGUUCAGAAAUCGAAUGAUGCAUAUGUAGACCAAUGCUAGAAAUUACCCGCAGGUUGAUGUAGUAUGUAUGGUUGCGUCUAGACUGAUUGGUGAUAGUACUCUGCAAGGAAAAGGGCCUUUGGUAGUUCAGGUGUUAUCUCUACUUUGCUGGUGAUGGUUCCCUGGUUGGUUUAUUCAACCGAGAUAUUUCUUCUUGCAUGAUUUUGACUGUUGUUGAGGAUUUAGCUUCAAUAAGUGCGGAACAUGAUACAUGACACUAGUUUUGUGCUGAUAUUGACUAAGUAUCACAAUGUAACAAGGAUCUGCCUAAUUUUUGCAAUAUGUGCUAACUUUUCAUUUUUUUGGAUUCAUGCAGAAAUUUUCCCUGGUGUACGGAUGAUGGGUUGCUUCACUGUUCUCAGAUCCAAGAAGAAGAAAGGCCCUCUUGAUAAUCCUUUUGCUCCGAGCAAGAAAUCGGUUGAUGCUAGGGAAAGUACGUCCUCUAGACUUCCGGAGCCAGAAGUUCAUGUGCCAUCCUUGCAAUCAGCUCCUCCUAGUUUUAGGGACAGGGCUAAAAUCUCCCAGUCGGCAAAUAAAGUUUAUAACAGCAGAGCUCGUGUGUUGUCUGCUCCAUCAACCCUUAUUGUGGUUGAUCAGUUUGGCUUUCCAUACGCUGAAUAUGGAGAUCAAGAUGACUCCAGGGAUAAGGAAGGUUCGACAAAGGGGCACCGCUUUUCAAAUCCUUUGCCCCUUCCUCUUCCUUCACCGGAAGGACAUUCUUUGAGGAACUUUGGUAGCUUCAAAGCCAGCAACGUAAGUGGGCCACUGGAGAUGUCUGGCCCUCUCCCACUGCCUCCAAAGAAAUGUGAUGGACUUAGAAUCUUCUCUUAUGAGGAAGUUUCAUCUGCUUGCCAGUGGUUUUCUAGUGAUCAGUGUGUUUCAGAAACACUUGGUUCAACAUCAUAUAAGGCAACCUUCAGGGAUGACUUUAGUGAUACAAAGACCACAGAAGCAACAGUAGCUCGAUUACUACCCUCCACUCAGGUACUUUAUAUUCCCGAAACAAUUUAGUUACAUAUUUUCUUAGCUGUUGUUGACAUUUGGCUUUUGGUGUGCAAAUUGCUUAUAAGGCGAAUUUCAUUUGCUACUUUGGCCAGCUUGCCGACAGAGAUGUCUGGCAUUUUAUGACAUAGCUUGAUACUGCAUGGAUAUAUCAUUCAGUAAUUUUACAGCAUUUAAUAUUCUAUCAAGGACCUGAAUUCAUGCUAUAGUAUCAGACUCAUUUUAUAGGCAGGUGACCAAAAGCCUAUUCUACUGACAUAUGCUAUGCUGGGGCCAUAAUAAAUAUACCAUUCCAUUUUUUGAAUGCUAAUUAGGAUUUAGGACCACUGCAGAUGUGGGGUGGGUAACAUGUUUCUGAAGCGACCAUGUGUUUGUUCUUGUUUCUACUAUUUACUGCAAACUGCUUUCUAUACUUCACUUCUUGGUUUUGUCUCCGGUCAGUUGUUAUGUCGCCCUACUGAUGUUUAUUUGGUUAUUUGAGAUUUCAUGCCUUCCGUUGCAUGCAAUUUAUAAUGCAUGGUCCUCGAUGUAGAGAACUUUUGGUCUAGUACCCACUCCUAGGCAAUGCCUUAUUUGCGUCAGAAAAUAUUUUGGAGUGAAUGUAGCUACUAGCCUGCAAUGGUUGAUAGAACAUAAAAUUCUAUGUGAUAAAUUGAAUAUCGUUACCUUUUAUCAUAGGCUGAUGUGUCAAUCAAGUUUAUUGUGUUAUACUAAAGUAGUAUUCACAAUCGAGCUCAUUAUUUCUGCUGAUGCAACACAUUGACAUACUGUUUAUCACCAGCAGAGUUUGAAGGAGUUUAAAGCGCAAGUGAACACAUUAGCAUCGCUUCAGCAUCCCAAUUUAUGUAAAUUAAUCGGCUAUUAUGCAAGAGAAGAUUCCAAUGGAAGGAUGUUGGUCUAUGCGCGGCUUCAUCAUGGCAGCUUAGAUAAGCUACUCUUUGGAAGAAUGGAUGGUCGUUUCAUGGACUGGUCUAAACGUUUAAAGGUUGCUCUUGGUGCUGCCAGAGGUCUAGCUUUCUUACAUGACGAAGGACCUUUUCAGGUGAGAACUACUUGAUUUAUUGUUUUAUGACGUUACGUGUAAGUUGUGGUUUUAAUUUUGCUUGGCUUCAACCACCUUAUCCUGAUGUUUUGGCUUUAACUUGUAUUUGUGUUUCUGUUUGUUUCCAGGCCAUGUACAGUGAGUUCUCAACUUCGAACAUCCAAAUAGAUAAAGAUUUCACUGCUAAGCUUUCAGGCUAUGGUUGUGUUGGCUUCAGUACUGAGGAGGAGAUAUCUAAUGCACCUGUGGUAUGUUUUGUCCUAAUGCAAUGUAGAUGUUUAUAUUAUCCCUUGAGUGGCAGCGACCUAUUCACUGUAACAUAUCAUAUCCUUCCAUUGGUUUGAAUAGUGUGCUCAGCAAUAUCUAUUUCUUUAUUCAGUUUGCAUGGGUUCUCUCAUAUGUUUUUUUUUAUUAUAAGAAGCACUGGGUGCAGUUAACAAAUAUAUAAUACUGUGAGAUAAACUAGCUGCAUUGUACCUAUUAUUUAUCAGUACCAUAUUGUUCACUGGAGAUUUGUUUUCUUCAGUCUGCAGCAAACCUUUCAGUGGAGACCUUGGAGAAAGGUUUACUCACUCCCAAGAGUAUUGUGUGGAGCUUCGGAGUUGUGUUACUGGAGCUAAUAACCGGAAGAAAGAACCUUGAUGCCAGGUCCUCCAAAGAAGAACGCAAUAUUGUCAAGUGGAGUAGGCCUUUCCUUACCGAUGACAGUCGCCUAUCCCUGAUCAUGGACUCCCGUAUAAAAGGGCGCUUUCCUACUAAGGCUGCUCGGAUAGUAGCAGACAUAAUUCUGAAAUGCUUGCAUAAAGAUCCAUCAGAGAGGCCAACGAUGAGGGAUGUUGUGGAGGCCCUAGCAGGAGUCCAGGAAAUAAAGGUUCCGUGCCGAUAUCCUCUGCAAGAGCCGUCUGCCGCACCAAGAAAAAUAAUGUUAAAAUCUACAUCCCUCAAUGGAAUUGUGCCCCAGCAUCCUAUUAUAACCUUCUCUCCGUCGCCACCUUCGCAUAACCAACACUUGAUCUCACCAAGGUCAUCGACAUCUGCUUUGCUUCAUCCAAGGAUGUGCUCCCCUACUCUGGAUGAUCCCAGGGUAAGCUCUACGAAGAAAACGCCUCCCCCUAUCAUGCGUAGGUCUAGCGUAGAAGGCUUUUGAAUGUCCAUACUGUUCUUUUAUUUCCUUUUCUUCGAUUUAUUUGUUUCUUUGUUAGCCUAGUGAUUUUUAGUGCUAUGUGCUGUAUUGUAAGACAAGUGGCCUUAUGUAAUGCCCUUGAGUAAUAACUAAGCAGAGCAGGGUGAAUUGUAAAUAGGACCAGGUUGUAGAUACCUUUUUGUGCUCUAAUUGGAUGGAAGCGAGCGUGCUGAGUGGGCCAUGUUACCUCAUUAUGCAAUAUAAACUCGUGUUACCCGGUUUCUGUUCGCCCGUACGCCAAACCUUUCAGCUGGUUCCUUUGGGCGCCAAGUGUUAGGUGCCUUGCAUCAGUUGCUUGUCGGCAAGCACUUUGUGUUAUCGAGUGUCGCUAUCCACAUGACGAUCUCAUGUGACAUGUUGCAGCUGGUACAAGGAAACUGUUCAUGACAUCUGUUUCAGUAGUUGGAGAUGCUGAAUUCCUGUCUGUGGAAAGUUUGUUCGUUUAAUCUAUCGUCGCAAUUGUUGACGCUGGCCCAGCCUGAUUGCUUCUUUGCCUGAGAUUUCUCAAUAGCGAGUCGUUGCUCAUCGCGCGCUUGUUGUUCCGUUGCAUUCUCGAUUUCUUUGUCCAGCACGCGUUUCGGAGAUGUUAUAUUCUGAAAUGGAACGUUUUUGUUGGUGUGUAGCUCAUGAUGUUGUAUACGUUUUUGUUGGUGUGCAGCUCAUGAUGUUGUAACGGUAGGUAGUGCAGAUUUGUUGUACCGUCAUUGGCAUCUGCAGUCAAUCGACUAUUCGUAGACCAUGGUUCAGCCGUUUCUGUCGAAUGAUCUGAACGACGGCUGCACAGUCACGGCGCGUUCUGUAUUCAACUGCACGCCUGGAAGAUUAGUCCAUCUGCAGAUUUUGUUUGAUAACAAGGUUGUCUAAUGUGUCCUUUUUGGCCUGGGGCAGGCAGGGUGGGUGAAAAUUUCUCCCCAGAUUCAAUCCACGUUCUUCACCAGAUCACCAUCUGUCUGCCGGUUGGUGAUGCGUGCUCUUUUUGACCGGUUUGUUCUCUACCGGGAUGUGAACGACCAGAACUAACCGUGAUUCUAUGAAUCUGGAGUGCAUGACUGUGAACGGAGAAUGGCCGAACGGUGUCGCUAACAGCUGUGCAAACACGACUGAUCUUCCAACCGAAGCCUUCGGCGACCUAGCGUCACUUUCUCGGCUUUUCCUCUUUGCCGGCAGCGAGGUUGUGAAGACAUGGACAUGGGAAGGUCCCCGUUGCCGUUGUUCAAUGCCAUCAUUCGGUCCCGCGGCCGCGGAAGGCCCGAACCAGAUCAGCUGUAGUGGUCGUCGGGUCGAUCAGGUCGGGGUUAGAUCCGUCCAAGGGGAAAAAAGUUCAGCGUGCACGAGCCCGUACUAGCUUUGUCACUGUGCGUGCGUGCGUGUCUAGUGUCUACCACCACCGGUGCCGGCAGGAGGGCACCGCCCACGCCACCAUCGGUGCCGGCGCCGCAGCCACCGAGACCGAGUGCAUACUGCGAUCCGCCCCCGGAUGAGAUGGCGGCGUGCUGGCCGCCGGCCGCUCGCGCGCUCCUCUCAUCUGAUCAUCUCUCGCUGGAGUCUUCGGCGACUCGCGCGCACGCAAUGCCGCCAGCCGCCAGGCCCAGCCAUCGUGGCACGGCAGAAAGGCCCAGCAGCGAAUUCCCCCCGGCCCACCAAUUUAAACAGCGCAAGACCUAAAGCGCGGUUUGGGGAAAAUUUCCCCAAAAAUCAACCCAGAACCGCAGACAAAGCACCACGGCACGCAAAUUCUCGAACCCCGUACUCCAACGAAUUCCCGAAUCCACUACCUGUUCGAGCACCGGCAUCGAAGCGGAGGAAACGCGCCGGAAUCUGUCGGCCAUGGUGGCCAUGCCCGCCCGGAUCCACCGCUCGGAUGAGAAUCCCGGUAUCUCCCGCAUUAAUUUUGCCCUAGAUCGACGGGGUGUCUCGGAUCUCUUACGCUGUUAGCUGAAUUGUUCCGGAGACGAAGGAAUCGCUGCCGCUGGGUACAGAUGAGGCCAAGCAGCAGCCACCAAGCCUCUCCACGGCGGCCCUCUGCCUGGAAGGGUACCACUGGCUUCGACUCGUAUUUAUGUUGUUUUUUUUCGAACAAUAAUCGUACUCAUAGUCGCUUAGUUCUGUUAGACUAUGCGGGCCAAAUUACUGGAUGAAGUGUUCGAAUCCAACGGCCAAGGCUUGUGCCAGGCCUGAAGUUGUGUUUGGGCUUGAUACAGUGCCGGCCAUAUUGUGGUGUAGCACUCAAAUUAGUGGGCAUUAUUGGAAUACGGGCCGAUCGUUUCUCAGUGUGAUAAAUAUGACAGUACUAGUCCUGGUUUACGCUGCUAUUGCAGCUGCAUUGGUCAUAUGAAGGCUAAUGUCAAAUUGAAAAGGAUAAUCUAGCAAGCAUGCUAAUGGCUAACUGCGUUUUUCCCUAAAAAAAUGGCUAACUGUGUUUGCAGCUCAUUUGUUGGCUAAUGGCCAUCAAUAUAUCACUGUUGUUGUUCUAUAGUUCCAGAUCUUCAAGCAAUUGACUGGUUUAAGUGUGUACUAUUUGGAAGCAUCGGGCAUCACUACCUGAAGUUACAAGAUUGGUGGUGCAGAAUGCAGAGUGCAAACUGCUCUCUCUACUGCUUGUUCUCUAGUCCUUUCGUAUCAGGACUGAUACACAUGGACACAUGGUCGUAUUUGUUGGGGCUUUAUGAAAAUCUGCUAUAUGCAUCAGCCGUAAGGAGCUACGUGCUCAUCAACAGUUGCUCUGUUUCAAGUUACAUGUCUUACUCUUAUAGCUUCGGUAUCCUUUCUUAUCUGCAAUUUGAGUAGCGAUUAUUCCAAAAAAAAAAGAAUAGCUAUGUUUUGAAUGACUGUUUUCAUCUUGGAUUCCUGAACUGCAGAUUGCCAAUCUUCAUGCUAUCUUCGUGGCUUUACCGUAUCAGGCCCUACUGCACUGCCAUUGAAGUACACUUCAUGUCUCAGUCCAAGCAGAUCUCUUAUGUGAUACUGAUUAGUCUGUACCUUCCCGAACCUGACAUAGUCUGUUGCAUGCUGAACCAGCUUGUCUGGGAAAUCACUCUGAAGUUCUGCAUUUAAAAGUUAAAACCAAGCACGUCUCUUAUGUAAGUUUUUAACCUUUUUGACUGUUUUAAUAGAGAUUUUGCGGAAUUGAACUUACUACUGUUAUUUCUGGGUCCUGGGUUCGAAUGAUAACGGGACCUACUUCAAUUAUUCUCUGUUAGUCUGUUAUAGAUGUGUGCUCUGAUCCAUAUGUGCUUGUAAAGCUUGUGGUAGUCAUAUAUGAUACUGUCGCUUGGGAGGUGUUGGGAAACAGCUCUGGUUCUCACUCUAUGUAGGUCAGCACUGCCCACUGGUCCACACAUUCCUUUUCCCUUUUGCCUUUAUGUCUCUUUGCCUCUAACAUGAUGUCCCUAAGGCCCUAACCCUGCUGUCCUGCUUUUGGGCAAUAUAGUUGUCAUGAUCCCUAACAAUGUGUUUGGUCAUUGACUCAUUAGGUCAUACUGAAGCUUGUUGGACCAAUAUGUGCUUGCAAAGGGAUUUGUGGUUCAAUUCACAGCAGUAUUGUUUGCUUAACCAAAUCCUGUAUUUGAAUUUUCCACUCAUCAUAAAAGAUGUGAAUACUUUUUUUCCUCUAUGGUCUCAACUUUCAACAUUUAACCAAUUUAUUCAUUUUUUCUCUAUUCAGUGCAAAUUUUUAGUAUUAAGAACUAUUGUAAUUGAUGUUGUGGCCUGCUAUGUUUUUUUAACUUCUAGAUCUGCAUUUUCUUGCCAUCACGUCCUUUAGGAAUAUAGUGACUGGUGGGUGCAGUGUGGCUCUCCUCUCAUGAUGCCUGCCCAUCUAUAGACUUCACUUGAUAUGAGCUGUUGGCAACAAUAAUUCUCUGAGUAUCGGUUGGGCCACGACAUUCUAUUUGCAUAUCAAAUGUUCCUGACCAUAUCUAUUUCGUUUGACAUUUUUCUUAUCAUCAGUGAUACAGCAUUUUUACCAACUACUGGAACACUUUGAGGAUUUGAGAUAAGAUUUGGUGAAGAGCAUGGAUUUGUCUGUAAUAUACUAUAUAGUAGUAGGUAGUCUUCUUGUGGCUAGCAUGUUCUUUCUUGUGGUAAAGAAUAGGAUGUACAGUUAGCGGGGCUAUUAUUCUACAUGCACAAUUGUCAUUUGGCUGGUAGUUCACGCCUGCUACCUUGCUUGAUUUUUUUUUUUGAGGACUUACCUUGCUUGAAGUUGGUUGGCACCAGUCAAGUACACUAUCCAAUACUAAUUCCUGUAAACGUGACCUGGCUGGAAAGCUGCUUGGCUGAUUCUCCAACAUUUUGAUGUUUCUGAUUCCUGUUUUCCGCAGGUGCUAGCCCUCUCUUUGGAGAGCCUUCUGGUUAAUCUUGCUUCAAUGAAGAUGCUACUUUGCUGGAGAAAGAAGAUGCCAAAGGUGCAAUCUCUCACGAUGCUGUUGUAUUUUGAUUUGCUUUUGUUUCUGAUUUAAUCGUUGCAAGAAUGGCAGGAACAGAUAGGCCUUUUGCUAUCAAAGUCUAACAGAAGUCGCAAUGUUCUACUUUUACACUUGAAGUUCGAAGUGGUAGGAAGGCAGUGUGGUCCUCAUAAAGCAAAUCAAACCCUCUUUUUUACAAGAAGAGGACCAUAUAAAUAUAUGCUUUUCCUUUUUAUUUUGUCCAGAAUCUCAAGUUUCUUUUCAUUCUUCUUUGAGGCAAGUUUCUUUUCAUCGAGAGUUCAGAUUCUUGCAACUAUCCAUAACAAUCUGUUACCAUUCAUCCAACCUUGAAGCUACUUUAGUAUUCUUGCUCCAACUAUUACCUGACUAACAGUUGAUACCAGUUUUCUCUAUGACUGACGUCUUCUCAAAGAAUUGACUGGGUCUUACAAAUUUAAGUAAAUACUAUCAGUCACCAAACAAAGUGCCAAACAAAUCUGCACAUGCCACCUCUCCACACAAAGUAGCUACAGGGUACAGUUAGUGGUCUGUAAAGUCAAUUAGUAGAAAAUCUGCUGUUUACAAUAGCAUAGUUUAAAGCAAGGUGACAGAGCCCGCUAUUGAAUCAUUCUUUGCAUAAAGCUACAGGCAUCUGCAUGUGGGUGUGGAUCUCAGAAGGUAACUUGUGCACAAAGACUAAUUGAGACUGCAUCAUGAGAGGCAUCAGUAACACAGGCAGCCUGUGGGGGACACCAUCAGCAACCCUGCAUGAUUCUCCUCUCACCGCAAAGCAUUCCGGUUUGCUCUCCUGCCUCUCUUAUUAUAUCCUCCCUUUCUCAUGCUCCUUGUAUCCUAGUCCCUUGCAUAAUCUAUGACACAGUUGCAACAAUGAAACCGUAUCUUGGAUCCACAUGUCAGUAACAUAAUAUUAUUGUGUAUUCCAUUGCGUAUAGUAUACUCUACGCUGAAUGCAAAUUAACUGCCAUUGGCUCUAAGCAAUUUGUUUACUUAUACUCCACAUAGAAAAUUUACAAUGGCAUUGCAAGGAAUCUGAUCUCACUUGCAUGCUGGAUGUUUAAAACUUGACUGCCCAUAUCACUGUGCGACUGGAUGUAUAUGGCGCUAAAUUUUGAAUUUUUCGAAUGGUUGUCCUUGGCUCACCCACCGGGUCGGGGCGUGGGUGACUGGGCAUACCUGCCCCCGUGCUGCGACGCCACCCCAUUCCUAUGCUGCUCCAGAUCGCAAUAAGUUCACAUUAAAUGCCCCUGUUCUGAACAAAAGCGGCCGGCGUAAAUGAGAGUUGUUGCGGGGCAUUGAAUACAAGCAACCUUCAGGCACUGCUGACAAGCGUAGGCCUGGAAUCUUAAGUGGCUGUUUAGAUCAGUUUGCAAAAACGUAAAAAAAAAAAUUUCAAAGUAAUCUUACCAAUUUGAAGUACUAAAUGAAGUCUAUUUGCAAAACUUUUUGCAUGGAUGGGUUGUAAAUCACGAGAUGAAUCUAAUGAUGCUAAUUAAUCCAUGAUUAAGCAAUAAUUAGCGGAUGGUUACUGUAGCAUCACUGUUGCAAAACAUGGAUUAAGUAGGCUUAUUAGAUUCGUCUCGCGAUUUACAACCCAUCCAUGCAAAAAGUUUUGUAAAUAGACUUCAUUUAGUACUUCAAAUUAGUAAGAUUCCUUUGGCAUCUUUGCGUUUAUAGCUUUUUUGCGUUUUUGCAAACUCAUCUAAACAGGCCCUAAACUUUGGCAAAUUUCUGACGCACGCUUUUGUUUUGAAGUUCCAUAAACAGGGCUAAUUGCUUGGUCGGACAGAAUUCAAAGGUAAAUCGGCACAAAAAAUCUAUUACUUCCGGUUAAUUCAGUUCUGAAACCCAUUUUUUAUUCUACUGUCAUUACUUCUCGUUGUCUCCGGUGAAUUACUGAAUGGUGAUCAGUCAGGAAAAUCAAGUUUUGGUUCAACUGUUGUCUCGUAUUGUUAUUUUAUUGCUAUGCUGUGAAGUAGAAAUAUUACAGCCGGAUCGCAGCAUACCCGUAUACUAUGCUUGCUGCGAUAUGCACUGUCACUAGAAUGAUUUUGACAAUACAUUAGAGAUUUGAGGCGCACUUGGCAUAAAGGGGUAUUAGCAAUGAAUCAGGAGCGCCAUGCUUAAGAUAAAUACCAGUAAAUCCACUCCAGCUAAGAGAAAUUAAAGGCAAAUAAAUGAACAUUCUAGCAUGCCGCUGCUGCGACGCUAACCAUGACGGUGGUCGCGAACUAGCGAUGCCACACGCGAUCGAAUUUGUUGGAACGGCCGAACUGCACAAUACUGUCAACCCACGCACAGUAUAACACCAUGGCAAGAGAUGCCUAACCACUUCUCCAAUCCUUGUUACUUUUUUUCCUUUUGCCUUAUUUAUCAAAUGAUUAGCUGAAUUGAAUGAGGUAAAUCUAUGAAAUUUUCGGGAUUUAGGUCGGAUUCGUCGCUAUGGAUAUGGUUUUUGCCUACAUUGCUACGAUGGAAUUAAAUGUUUUCCAGAAAAACAUAUCCUUUUGGGCAAAAGCGGAUGGAAGCGAGGAAACAGAUCAUUUUGUCCAUUUCCUAUUUGUUCUACUCGUAGCACAUUAAUAGCAGCACAAGGGGGGCCUCCUCUCCUUCUAGCUUCCCCUCCCUGGCUCUCUCCCCACGGCUCCGCCGCGCUGCGCUACGCCACUGCCCCCACCCCACUCCUCCCCGCACUGCCCCGGAGCUGCUCCGCGCAAAUGGGCAGAGCGCCGCUGUGAUCCCUCCACCCUCCUCGCUCCUCCUCCUGCCCCGCCGCGUCGCGAUGGCCGCCGCCUGCCCGCUCCUCCUGCCCCUCGCCGCGCUGCUCCUCGCGGCGGCCGCGACGACGGGCGCGCUCACCGACGACGUGCUCGCGCUGGUGGUUUUCAAGACGGGCGUCUCGGACCCGUCGGGCCGCCUCGCCACGUGGACCGAGGACGACGACCGCCCCUGCUCCUGGCCGGGCGUCGGCUGCGACGCGCGCACGGGCCGCGUCACCUCGCUCGCGCUCCCGGCGGCGUCGCUCUCGGGCCGCCUCCCGCGCGCGCUGCUCCGCCUCGACGCGCUCCUCUCCCUCGCGCUCCCGCGCAACAACCUCUCCGGGCCCGUGCUCCCGAACCUCCUCGCCGCGCUCCCGCGCCUCCGCUCCCUCGACCUCUCCUCCAACCACCUCGCCGCGCCCGUCCCCGCCCAGCUCUUCGCCCAAUGCCGCUCCGUCCGCGCCAUCUCCCUCGCGCACAACCAGCUCUCGGGCUACAUCCCGCCCGCCGUCGCGUCCUGCGCCUCAAUCGUGUCCCUCAACCUCUCAUCCAACCGCCUCGCCGGGCCCAUCCCCGACGGGUUGUGGUCGCUGCCUUCGCUCCGCUCUCUCGACCUCUCCGGCAACGAGCUCUCCGGGAGUGUGCCCGGCGGAUUCCCCCGGAGCAGCUCGCUGCGGGACGUGGAUUUGAGCCGCAACCUCCUCGCCGGGGAGAUACCGGCGGAUGUCGGCGAGGCGGCGCUGCUCAAGUCACUGGAUUUUGGGCAUAAUUUGUUCACGGGCGGUCUGCCGGAUUCACUCCGCAGGCUGACCGGGCUGCGGUUCCUCGGCGCCGGUGGCAAUGCGCUUGCAGGGGAGCUGCCGGCGUGGAUCGGCGAAAUGUGGGCGCUGGAGCGGCUUGACUUGUCGGGCAACCGAUUCGCCGGCGACAUUCCCUACACCAUCGCGAACUGCAAGAACCUUGUGGAGGUCGACCUAAGCCGUAAUGCGCUCACCGGCGAGCUUCCCUGGUGGAUGUUCGGCCUGCCGCUGCAGCGCGUCUCGGUGGCCGGCAACCAGCUCAACGGCUGGGUCAAGGUGCCCGAGGACGCUGCAAUAGCGCUUCGUGUGCUGGACCUGUCGAGCAACGCGUUCUCCGGCGAGAUCCCGCCGCGGAUCACUGCCUUUGCGGGUUUGCAGUCUCUGAACCUGUCCUCGAAUUCCUUGUCGGGGCAGCUGCCGGCCGGCAUUGGCGGGAUGAGGCUGCUCGAGGUGCUCGACUUGAGCGUUAACCGACUUGACGGAACCGUGCCCUCGGAGAUUGGCGGCGCGGUGGCGCUCCGGGACCUCCGGAUGGGGAGGAAUUCGCUCACGGGACGCAUCCCCGCACAGAUUGGGAACUGCAGCUCUAUCGUUUCACUGUAAGUAAAUUGUUUUUUUCUUUCCUUGAAUUUUUACCCAUAUUGUCGAAUGAAAUUUGACGUCAUUGCGAUUGCUUGUGAGUGAAGUUGACUAGGCCUAUUUAUUUUAGCUUUCUUGACUGCUUUGAUUUGUUUCAGUUUCCUAGGUUCCAGAGACGUUGUAGAAAGUGAUGUAGGACAGUGAUGUCGUAUUUUCUGUUUGGAACCCCAACCCGCAAUUUAUGGGUCUGUGUUGUCACCUUGUUUUGCUCGCAUCCCAGUAUCCGGUCAUCAUUUUUUUUUUAUCUGGAUGCACUCAAAACUGAAGUCAAAGGUCUACAUCAGCAGGAUGUGGAACACUUGUUAUCUCAGUGCUAGUGGUACUGUAGUUAGUUAUGACUUGAACAUUCUGAAUCGUUUUAAACCAGAUCUGUGCUCUUCCAAUGCAGGGAUUUGUCACACAAUAGCCUCACGGGGCCAAUUCCUAGCACCAUGGGCAACCUGAGCAGUCUCCAGGUGGUCAAUCUCUCUCAGAACAAGCUGAACGGGACCCUACCAGUGGAGUUAUCCAAUCUGCCUAGCCUCCAAAUCUUCGACGUCUCCCACAACAUGCUGACAGGGGAUCUGCCCAAUAGCCGCUUCUUUAACAACAUCCCUGACUCCUUCAUCAUGGACAAUUCUGGUCUCUGUAGCUCACGGAAGAAUGAUUCAUGCAGUGCUGUUUUGCCAAAGCCGAUUGUGCUCAACCCCAACUCUUCAUUGAAUCCUUCAUCUCAGGCUGCACCUAGUGCACCUAACAACACGCAUCACAAGAAGAUCAUACUGAGCAUCUCCACCCUCAUUGCCAUUGCGGGUGGGGCUGCAAUUGCUAUCGGAGUGAUCACCAUAUCUGUGCUGAACCGCCGCGUCCGUGCCCGUGCAGCUGCCUCCCGCUCAGCACCUGCUACUGCAUUAUCUGAUGAUUACCUCAGCCAGUCCCCGGAGAAUGAUGCUAGCUCCGGGAAGCUUGUCAUGUUUGGUAAGGGCAGCCCUGAGUUCAGCGCUGGUGGGCAUGCGUUGUUGAAUAAGGAUUGUGAGCUUGGGCGUGGAGGCUUUGGUGCAGUCUACAAGACAGUUCUCAAAGACGGACAGCCGGUAGCCAUCAAGAAGCUUACUGUCUCUAGCUUGGUCAAGUCAAAGGAUGAUUUCGAGCGGCAAGUAAAGAUGCUUAGCAAGGUGCGGCACCACAAUAUUGUCGCGCUCAGAGGCUUCUACUGGACUUCAUCACUGCAGCUCCUCAUCUAUGAUUACCUGCCCGGAGGAAACCUGCACAAACACCUGCAUGAGUGCAAUGAAGAUAACUCACUUUCCUGGAUGGAGAGAUUUGAUAUCAUCCUCGGUGUUGCCAGAGGGCUGACAUACCUGCACCAGCAUGGGGUCAUCCAUUACAAUCUCAAGUCAAGCAAUGUGCUACUGGAUAGCAAUGGGGAGCCAAAGGUGGGUGACUAUGGCCUCGCCAAGCUGCUGCCAAUGCUGGACCGGUACGUGCUGAGCAGUAAGAUCCAGAGCGCACUUGGGUACAUGGCCCCAGAAUUUGCUUGCAAGACGGUGAAGAUCACCGAGAAGUGCGACGUAUAUGGCUUUGGGGUGCUGGUGCUGGAGGUCUUGACGGGCAGGAGGCCCGUCGAGUACUUGGAAGACGACGUGGUUGUGCUAUGUGAUUUGGUCAGGAGCGCGCUGGAGGAAGGCAGACUGGAAGACUGCAUCGAUCCGCGACUGUGCGGCGAGUUCCCCAUGGACGAGGCCCUGCCCAUCAUCAAGCUGGGCCUCGUCUGCACCUCGCAGGUGCCAUCGAACCGGCCUGGUAUGGGCGAGGUGGUGAGCAUACUCGAGCUGGUGAGGAGUCCUCAAGAUAGUGCCGAGGAAGAGCUGGUUUGAGCACUAUCUAGGAUCUCUGUUCUAAUUCGCCUUGAGCCUUUUUCUUUUUUGUUUUCUGAGAUGCAUAUAUGAUUGCCCGUUGGGGAAGAGAGGAGAAGGUGGUGCAGCCAGUGCAGUGCAGAGAGUGGAAUGCUUGUAAUGUGUUCAGAGUUUUAGGGAUGCAAAGGCCGUGUGUUGCUUCUCUGAAAAUUCUUUUGUUCCUUGGUUGGAAUAGUUACUACUUAGCUCGUGUAGGUAUUGACUCGAUGCAAUGCGAGCCAGGGCUGGUGAUAUACCCGGCAUAACCAGGUGACUGAUGUUCAUGGGCGGCUCUGCUGCUGAUAGUGCGACUUUUGUUUGACAGAAAUUGCUCAACAUCUUCAUUUGAGAUCUGUCUUCUUGCUUUGCUCCCUGUUACUUUUAACAGAUUAACUUGCUAGUUGCUAGCCAUUUCUUUUUACUCAUUCGGUGUUAGACCAAUCGCGAAUUUCUAGUAACGGAACAAACUGGAAGCACUCCUAUUUUCCCGUCGAAAAGGCAUGCCUUCAGAGAGUCAUCUGAGCCAGGGUCAAACCACAAACAUCACCUGCCCUUUG